Calidris pugnax (ruff) is the source of this 4679-nucleotide long non-coding RNA. RefSeq lists it as uncharacterized. Lineage: Eukaryota; Metazoa; Chordata; Aves; Charadriiformes; Scolopacidae. The transcript is spliced from 5 exons. The record is from RefSeq and is a predicted model, not a curated record.
CAAAUCCGUGAAUCUGUGAGUUUGACCCUAAAAUAUUCUUGAGAGAGUACAUUUCCUUUUCAGACAGUGUUACAGAUUUGGAAACAAUUGCUGUUUUCAAAGGAACAAAGGAGAUAGGUGCAAGUGGUGAACAAGUGUAUACAUUCCUGUGAGAAUAUGAGAGACCUGAACCAAAUUUCAUGUGAAUUUUGUGGAACUCUAAGAGAAUUUAAAUUAAGUUCCAAAGGUUAUGAUUGCUCCUUAUCACUGAAAUGUACUUUCUAAUUCUAAAAAAACUCCACAUUCUGGAAACUAAAGAUAAGAUUUUUUUAGUGCUGAAUUCAAGCUUUUGUCUCUAUCUCAAUACUUUAUCAGUAAGCUGAAUACUAUUUGAUGUUGAAAGACAAGAUUAGGUAUUAGUAAGAAGUUCUUUCCUGUGAGGGUGGUGAGAGCCUGGCCCAGGUUGCCCAGAGAAGCUGUGGCUGCCCCAUCCCUGGAAGGGUUCAAGGCCAGGCUGGAUGGGGCUUGGAGCAACCUGGUCUGGUGGGAGGUGUCCCUGCCCAGGGCAGGGGGGUUGGAACUGGGUGAUCUUUAAGGUCCCUUCCAACCCAAACCAUUCUAAGAUAAGACAACAUGACAGGCACAACGUUGUAUAUGAAAUCAUGACUGAAACCUUUAAAAGCUGGUUCGGCCUUGAAAACAGAUAAAAUAUAAUAAUUUCUGUAAUUUGUGUCUAAAUUGCCUUGCCUGUUUCUGAAGUAGUUUACACAUUGCAAAGGGCUGGAUUCAGAACUGACAUAAAUGAACACAAUUCUGAGCCCCGUGGGAAUCAGCCAGUUAAAAACAAAUUGAGCGUUAGGAGUUAGCCAAAGGACCCAUCAUCGCAACACCUUGAUGUGGGGACUUUUUUAGACCGUAUCUCAGCCAAAUUCUAGCAAAAAAAUUAAGAAAAAUAGUGGGUUUUUUAAUGGAUGAAAGCUCAGAAUUCCAAAAGUGAACUCCUGAUUCCCACUGGUUUCAGUGAGGUCAGUCUUUCAGCCCUAUGUCCCAACUGGAUAUGUAUACAUCUAUACUGGGGAAUUGGAGAUCAUUGUCACUGCAGUGUUCAGAAGGUUCAUAAACCAAGCCACUACAAACUUUAAAACAUAACAGAGAUAACUCUGUAGGCAGAAUAAUUACUUUGUAGAUUGGUGAGUGUUUUGGGCUUUUUUUUUCUUGUCUUGGAGAUCUGUUGUUUGCAGGAAUCUCAGCGCUGGAGUGAUUUCAAUCAAAAUGCCAUGCUGUUCAAUUGGAAAAGGGACUUGUAGAAAGCAUUGAAAUGGUGCUGGUGAGGGAUACAAAACACUUUGGCUUCAUAGACAAGGGCUUGGCCUCUCUUACAGAUUCUCUUGAGACUCAUUUUUCAGGUACUAAAUGCAAAUUUAUUCAGAAAGUAAGUUCGGGGGGUGUGCAUUUUUUUUUACAUUUCUGUAAAACCUAAUUCAACAGGACAUUUACUUAGAUAAUUUCACAAAGCAGGAAGGUGGGGCUUUUUAAUAUAUUUUUACUAGACUCUGUUAAUUUAGGACCUUUUGAAAAAGAAGUAUGUGGGGAAACAGUCAGAGGUCAUUACCUCGUUUCUUGCCAAAAUAAAGAGUACAGGAUUCUUGAGGGAGGGCUACUGCUUGGCCUCUCUGAGAACAGGUAGGAGCUCGUCUCUGACUGCAUCAUCCACAAAGUUUUACAUAUAGAACAAACCAUAUGUUCACACUCUGUACAACUAGUUGCUAGUUACUUUAAAAUAGAAUGAUUGUUGUGUCAUCUAUUCCUAUUUUUUUUAUUUUCUGGAGUCAUGAUAGUCAUUAGCUUAAGAGAAGGGCAUUCUCCUAAAAUCCAUCAGAUACUUAUGGAAGUGUCCCUAAAUAAAGUUAAAAUCUGAAAAUAAGCAAUUCUUUACAGUAUAUUGUGUAUCUGAGUGGAAAACUUUAAGUCUGGUUAAGGUCAGCUGCACUUCUUAGUUUCAAAGUUGCUGUGGGACCCAAACUGUGUGCUCAGGCUCCCUUUUCCAGAAAUGGAGGAAGACAAAUGAAGCCACUUUCUGGCGAUAAAACCCAGAUAAAGAACCUAUAAAGACCUCACUGGAGCAGAAAGAUGCAACUUGUUCUUCCCUGUCUGUUGGCCCGUGUUGGUUUUCCCUAGCGUUUGUGAGGCCUGUGAGAAAUGUUUGGAUAAGAUCUUUUGGUGCUGUUCCCAGAACAUGGUUCAUGUGAUGUCAAAGAAUCCUGACGUUUUGCCAGGGACCUUUUUUUUGUCAUUGGGAAUUUGGAGACUGGGUUUGUAAGGCGUUGGCUGAGGCCAGAAUACAAAGGCAAAACUCCUGAGCGACCUAUUCUGGCAGGCCAUCUUCUGUCAAAGGCCACCAGGGACCUCUACCAGGAGGCUCCACCCAAAAGGAGAAUGAGGAAGGGAGCAACAGGUCUAGACAACUCUAACUUCUUUAGCAUUGCAGAGUUGGAGCUGAAACAUUGGUUGUCCAGGCUGUAUAUUGGCACAGAAAUAUGAAUUAUUGUAAUAAAUAAACCAGCUUAAAGCCAGAGUUUCCUUGUCUUGAAACAGGGAGAUCAAAGAGAUGAAGACCAGAGUGAUGUACAAUUAUUAUAUUCCUUCAACUGCAAGAAUUAGUGACCCUCUAGCUGCCUGAAAAGUGGGAGGGAUGACUUGUGACUAUGCUCACUUAAAUACUAUUUAGACACCACUCUAGACCAGGGGUUCCCAAUCUUUUUUCCAUCUGUAACCCAUAGAUUUUUCUCCUCUGGCAGGGCUGUCCUGAGUGAAGUGAAGGUAAGCGUACGGAGAGUUUUCGUCACUUCUUUCUAUAGACAUCUUGAAGUCUUGAGUUGUAGACUAUUUUGACUAUUGGACCCCAUGGAAAAAGUGCAAGGAAAUUAAGAUAGAAGGAAGUAUAACAAGAAAUAGGAAAAAUGCAACUUGCUAGUGAAAAACAACGCCGUUGAUCAGUACUCGCUUAGUGGAGAUGGAAAGGUAAAAACCAACAUCUGAAUAUAUCGUGUUUUCUUUAAUUACAAUGUACAUGCAUUUUCUUGCACAUGUGCAUAAUUUGUGUCGGAUGAAGUAAAUGACAUCACUCUCUGUCCAUGUCUUCUAUUUCCAUGGAUUUGUGAUUAUAUUUAUUGCAAUUUGCUGCAUUGUAGAUGCUAGAAUACAAAUAAUCAAAAAUGCUGUCAUCGUACUAAAUGAUAAAUUAUAUCACAGAGUGAAAUAAAGUAUUUUAUCAUUUAGUAUGAUGCAGAUCUUUUUUCCUAACACAACACAAAAUUCACACCAUUACAGUUUCACUCAAUCUCAAAAUGCUGUUCUGCUAAUUGAUGGCUAAGUUAUGCAGUACCUGUUGGAAUGCUGAGAAGCUGCUUUGUCUUACUUGGGUUUUUUGUUUGGGUUCUUUUUUUGUUUUUAAUGUUACUUGUUUCUAUCUUGUUUUCACUCCAUAGUUUCCAUUAUGGUCCAGUAUCAGGAAGUUCUUGAAUAGGCAAGUGUUUUGGGGUCAUAGUCAUAAUUAAGUCCACCUUUUGAUUACUUUAUUUACAAUGAUGAUUAAUUUUCCGAGUGGAAACCCUAUUUUUUUUAUUCCUAAAGAUCAAAUUUUAAUUUAUAAUUAGAUUUUCGUAGUUUGUUGUAACCAGAAUGCGUUUUUUCACUAGUUUGCAAAGUUUAUUAAUUAUCUUUGCUAUUUAUUGCCAUGUGCCCAUAUAAAGUACUGCUGGAGACCUGUGUUUGGCCUUGCUAUGAAUAGUUUCCCAUCUGACUUACUGUGUAUCGUCUGUCCUGUGUUCAUUUGACAUGAUUUGCCUACAUUUUCUCCAUCAUCACUGCAUCAGGUCAGCAGAGAGAACAGCUGGAAACGUUAUUCCCAUGUACAUAUGUGUACAUAUACAGUAAUAUAUAUGUCCACGUGAAAGGAUUUAUGCCUAGAGGUCCAUUUGGUUUUAAGGUUCAUUGACCAACACCAAUGCUGCUUAACUACUCAUAAAAAUAAUUAUGCUAAGAAGUCAGAUAAGGGUACAUAUUUUAAUUAGAUAUGUUUGGCACUUUAAAAAUCUCAUUUAUAACCCUGCAGAAAGUUCUUGAGCUUGUGACUGACCUGCCAGUGUGUUCCUACCACGUGCAUCAUCUCUCUGUGUUCUCCAAGCUGCUUCUUCUUGGGAAGAAGAGACGGGGAGGGACUCUUGAUCAAGGAGGGGAGCCACAGGACGAGGGACCACUACCUUGACCUACAUUGGCCACUGCCUGGUGCUUCCCAAGCUGCACUGAAGAAGAAAAGAAAUCAACCUUAUCAGAGUGUGAAUAGAAACCGGAACGGCUGUUGACUGGGAGAUGAAGCAUCUGCUGAAGAGCGCCUUCGCGUAACAACUUGGGAGAAACAGGAUAAAAAGUCUGGGAACCAUCUGAACACCAGGAUAACAUUAUUCCAGGUUGUGAAGGUGUAACAUCAUACUGUGAUCAGCAAACUCCAGCUGCUGGAGGAGAGGGCAAAAGGAGCCCUACAGGAUACGUCAGUCUGUGGGACUUGAACAGUUGCACAGUAACAUCUGGUUUUACCGCUGAGAGCAAAAUGUCUUACCCAACCAGCAAUGGACAGAAAAACAAUUCUUGUGGGUUUGAGUGAGAGCCUUCCUCAUCAUCUUGAGAGGACCCAAUGCAAA